CGAGGGUCAAUGAAAAAUCCAACAACAUGAAAGGGCAAAAGUCCUAACUAUUAGAUCAGUUACGAAACCCCCUUCAAAAAAAAUUAGUUACAAAAUAAUUGCACAGAUGUCAUAUGUACUUUUUUUGAAUAAUUGUCGUAUGUGCGUCAAAUAUCAGAAAAUCCAACAACACGACAGGGAAAAGUCCUAACUAUUAGAUUAUGCACAAAUAAUUGCAUAAGUGUCAUAUGUGCUUAAACAAUCAGGUUAACCAACUGCUCCUUCCGUUCCAAAUCUUAAUAUUACUAAUUGGAAGUUCCUUUUGAAACCUAUGAUGAAGUCACCUAGAAUUCCUAGGUGAACACUAUAGAAAAAGAGAAAAAUCAUAGAAAUUCUCACAAAAAAGCAAAAACAUCCGACCAUCAAUUGAUAGGUUCAAAUCAUCAUAGCCAUUGGAUCUAUUAUAUUUUCUAAAAAAUUACCCACCUGUGCCAUUAUGAAAAUAGCCUAAAGUAACCCCUAAAUCUAUAUAUAAAUUACCCACCUCUGCUCUACCAUUAUAUAAAAUAAACUAAAGUAACCCCCUAAUUUUCAUCAAAAUUACCCACUUAUGCCAUUAUAAAUAAUAUUUAAAAUAACCCCCUAAUUUGCAACCGAAUUACC
Molecule: long non-coding RNA, 642 nt
Filed under: Setaria viridis
Lineage: Eukaryota; Viridiplantae; Streptophyta; Magnoliopsida; Poales; Poaceae
Description: long non-coding RNA (SVIR_LNC006015)
Source: RNAcentral